UACGGAGGGUGCGAGCGUUACCCGGAAUCACUGGGCGUAAAGGGCGUGUAGGCGGGAUGUUAAGUCUGGCUUCAAAGACCGGGGCUCAACCCCGGGGAGGGGCUGGAUACUGGCAUUCUUGACUCCUGGAGAGGCAACUGGAAUUCCUGGUGUAGCGGUGAAAUGCGCAGAUAUCGGGAGGAACACCCAUUGCGAAGGCAGCUCGCUGGGACGUUACUGACGCUGAGACGCGAAAGCAUGGGGAGCGAACAGG
Molecule: ribosomal RNA, 253 nt
Filed under: uncultured bacterium
Lineage: Bacteria
Description: partial 16S ribosomal RNA
Rfam family: Bacterial small subunit ribosomal RNA
Source: RNAcentral